AACGAACGCUGGCGGCAGGCCUAACACAUGCAAGUCGAGCGGACCCUUCGGGGUUAGCGGCGGACGGGUGAGUAACGCGUGGGAAUAUGCCCUUCUCUACGGAAUAGUCCUGGGAAACUGGGGGUAAUACCGUAUACGCCCUUUGGGGGAAAGAUUUAUCGGGGAAGGAUUAGCCCGCGUUGGAUUAGGUAGUUGGUGGGGUAAUGGCCUACCAAGCCGACGAUCCAUAGCUGGUUUGAGAGGAUGAUCAGCCACACUGGGACUGAGACACGGCCCAGACUCCUACGGGAGGCAGCAGUGGGGAAUCUUAGACAAUGGGGGCAACCCUGAUCUAGCCAUGCCGCGUGAGUGAUGAAGGUCUUAGGGUUGUAAAGCUCUUUCAGCUGGGAAGAUAAUGACGGUACCAGCAGAAGAAGCCCCGGCUAACUCCGUG
Molecule: ribosomal RNA, 433 nt
Filed under: uncultured bacterium
Lineage: Bacteria
Description: partial 16S ribosomal RNA
Rfam family: Bacterial small subunit ribosomal RNA
Source: RNAcentral